GCUGACCACGCCGGAGCCUCUGCCCCCCCAGCCGCCCGAGUGGCAGAAUCUCAGCCUAGAUGGGACCCCGGUUUCAUAAAUGAGGAAACUGGAACGCAAAGAGGGGAACUACCCAAGGUCACUCGGAUUUGGUGGCUAAGCAAGGGGUAAGAACCCAGGUCUCCGGAGCAGAGUGCUUCACUUCAAAGCAUCCCACAGCGAUUAGCGGUUUAUAUUUCGAAAGCACCAGGAAAGCUUCCCUUCUGAUUUAUGACAGUGAAUGUGUCAACCUUUACUGAACGAGAUUCUUGCUGGUGACUAACAAAAUUCCCUUCACCUCCAUCCUGCAGCAUUUUAAAGUUCAUCUUUUGGUUGAUUCCUGGCUAGGCUCCUCGCCCAGAUGGGCCCCUCCCUCUGCUAGACCGAAGUGGUUCCACUGACCUUUAUGACCCACAGAUGACCCGCUGAGCUCGCCUCACACUCUUUUGUGGCCAUGGGGGCAGAGGGUCGGUGUGGGAGGCCUGGGCUGCACUGGGAGAGAAGGCAACAAAGGGGGCACUCAACUCCAGGCACCUGGGUAGAGGCUGGAGGGGAGAGGUGGGUGCGGAAGGAGACAGCAGUGCAGCUGCCUUUACAUGGAUAUAAAGGACAAGGGGAGCCCCGGAGCCUUUAAACAUAAGGCAGAGAUGGAGAAGAGCAAUGCCCUGAGAAGUCACAAUUCUCUUUCCACUCUACCUACCCUCCCACUGAGCCCAGACUCCCUCUCCCUGCCCCCCAACUCCCAACAUGGGGGCCAUUCCCAGGGCCCUCCCCAGCUGCCCUCCCUUCCCACACUUCAACCAGCUCCCUCCGCUGGAAAGAGCCCAAGAGGAGGACCCAGCUGCAGCUCCAGAUGUGGAUGAUACUCUCUGGGGGAAGGGGGGAAGGGGAGUCAGACGCCAAGCCUCUUGCAUCACCCUCCAAUGAUGAUGAAACUAUGCCAGAGAUUUUGGCAAGGGUGUGGGUUAGGGUCUGAGGAUAUAUCUGUUGGUACCAUCCUCUCUCCCUUCCCUCCCCCACUCACCCCCACAGAUAACUGCUCCGUCCAGUAGUCCAGAUCACUCUGGUUUUGAUGAGUCAAAUCCAAACAAUGAUAAUUUCAAGGGCAAAUUUCAAGGGCAAAUCAACACCCCUCCCCCCAACCUGCUUCAAAACAGGGCACCACCAGCAGUGGCCCAACGGUGGAGGAGGAGAGGGAGGGGAUGCUGGUGGGAUCCUGCACCUUUUACUAGCAUUUGAACCUAGAGGAAGCUCUCUCUGGGCCAGUAGGCCACCCCUUCCCGAGCAGUAGGCCUGCAGAGUGUUGAGUCAGAUCCUGGACAUUCUCUCCCCAUCUUCCAACCAAAAUAAGAGAUGGGGAGGUGGCUAACAAUUAUGGACCAUCCAUGAGAACCAGGUAUUUUUAUGCAUAUUCUCAUUUGAAUCUCAUAACCUUGUGAGCUGGGCUUUAUUAUUCUCUUUCAGUUUUGCAGUUGGGGGAGAAUGAGUCUCACCCAGCAUAUAAGCAAUGGAGCCAGGAUUUGAACUUAUGCAUCUUGUUCCAAACUCCCCAGAUCACCUCCAAGCAAGUGCCCAGAGGGAAGGGAGCCGGCCUGACCCAGGCUUUUGCUGGAGAUUUAGCCCUCCUGGAUGAUAAUGCUGCAUUUUGCAAAGCUGCUCUCCCGCCCACUAGACCCUGGACUUCUCUGGGGCUCAUCUCUGGUUUCCUGCCUCCAGGAGGUCCCCUCUGACUUCCGAGAUUAGGUGACCCUUCUGACUCACAGCUUUACUGCUGGGAAAUGGCGCCAGAGCCGCUGCAAGCACCCUCCCCUUCCCUCCACGCCAAAGGAUGUCAAGCCAGGAGGAGCAGGGAGGCACAUGCGCUGGAAACUCUGGCUUCCUAGAGGUCAGGGCCCCACAUCAGCUGUGCCAGCCACCUCAGCAGCUCCCUCCUGGACCACCAGGGCCAUUAGAUGUCCAGACUCUUGACUCCUGGGCACUGCUGCCCAGAGGUGAGCAGGGAAACCGGGCACAGAGGUCAGAGGGAGAUCCAAGGGUCAGGAAGAGACGUGGGGAGAUUUAGGUUAGAUGGGUCAGAGGAGGCCGAGGACAAUCCCUGCCCUCUCCAGUCUCUGUGUGCCUUCAGCACAGACUCUGCUUCCUCUCUCUGGCUUGUUCCCACCCCCACCCUUUCCCACCCCUUCUCCCUCCUCCCAGCUGCUCUUUCCUUCCCUAACCCUGAAGUUUCUCAAGGAGCUGCCUAUAUGCCUAGCCCUCCCAACCCCCACCCCUUUCCUCUCAGCCUGACAGAAAUGGGCAAACACAUAUACACUACCUCCUGUUUGGUCCUUAAUUCCGCUAAUUGGACUGGAGUUUGAGCUCCAGCUCUUGUCCUAAGCUGAGGCCUUUCCCCAUCAGGCGUCUAGGAGCCUCCAUCAUUUCUCUUGACAGGAGCCGUGGGCGUCUGGGCAGAUGGGAACGUGGGGGGAGCUGUGGAGGACCCUCUCUGAGGCAGGAAGCUCCCACUCCUGUAGUUAAAAUACUCCAGCAGCAACUUGAGGAAGCCAUCUGGCCCAGAUCUCUCAGGCACGGCCUAGCUUUCAAUAGCAACCCUACGGUAACAAAUCAAUAUACCUAAGAGAUACCCUUCAGCUCCAGAAAUGUCUCUAGAGGUGGUCUGAGCCUGAGACCUGUUCCCUCUUAUCUUCUUUAGGGUUAGCACUAGGCAUUGGCAUUUGAAGAAAUGAUCUGAGCAUUGUCCUAAAAGUUCCAGGGGUGGAAAGUAUAGAGUUCUGGACCUCCAGGCCUAACUGUCAGCCCCACCCCAGCAGCUGGGCUUGGUUCCAUGGGACAAUGGGCAUUAGCCCGUCCUGCCAGCCACGCCCUCCCGUGUCCACCUGGAUAUGGAGCCCAGCUGUGCCUGCCAACAGGAGCUCAGAACCCCUGAAAGGAUCUACUUGGGUGCAGAUUCAGAGGUCUUAGAUCAGGCGCGGGCUCAGCCUGACUUCCUGUGUUACAGAAGGAGACAGACUUAGCCUUAGAGGAAACCAGAAUUUGUUAUAAAUAGAAGGGAGAGAGAACUGCCGUGGAUUAUAAACACCCCAUCAGUCCUAAAAAAAAAAAAAAAAAACCCAACUAUUUUUGGUUUCAAAUGUUAAUGACAAUUUAAUGAAUACUCCAUAUAACCUCAGACAUGGCUCUUCAUCCACUUUGUGCUCUGCCAUGUUUCCUAUCAGGGCCAAAAGCAGGAAGAGCAGGUGUGGGAAAUUCUCAAUGUCACAGAACCUUUGUGGAGUUGAAAAGAACGCUCAGAUCAUCGAGUUUUACAGUUUCAUUUUCCGGUGAAGACACGGAAGCCCAGACGGGUAAAGAGACUCGUCGACAGUUGAACAAUAAACUAGUGAGCAGGGACCAACAGUGUGGUCCUCAUGGGUCCAGAGCAGGGCGGUUUCCGCAGCAGCAUGGAAGGACCCAGAAGCUAAACAUCCAAGACUGGGCCCUGCGUGAGUUUCUGGCUUGGAUGAAAGUGAAGACUAUACCAGAUAACAAGAGACAGGUGGAAGCUGAAGUGUGGUGUUCCAAGUCAGAGAUCUGGGUUGAGAGUCCCACCCUGCCACGCGCUAGCUACGUAACCCUGGGCAAGUUAUGUAACUACCUCA
This 3656-nucleotide long non-coding RNA is filed under the name Lynx pardinus (Iberian lynx). Lineage: Eukaryota; Metazoa; Chordata; Mammalia; Carnivora; Felidae. The record is from RNAcentral.